Molecule: ribosomal RNA, 425 nt
Filed under: uncultured bacterium
Lineage: Bacteria
Description: bacterial SSU rRNA
Rfam family: Bacterial small subunit ribosomal RNA
Source: RNAcentral
AUUGAACGCUGGCGGCAGGCCUAACACAUGCAAGUCGAGCGGAUGAGAGGAGCUUGCUCCUGGAUUCAGCGGCGGACGGGUGAGUAAUGCCUAGGAAUCUGCCUGGUAGUGGGGACAACGUUUCGAAAGGAACGCUAAUACCGCAUACGUCCUACGGGAGAAAGCAGGGGACCUUCGGGCCUUGCGCUAUCAGAUGAGCCUAGGUCGGAUUAGCUAGUUGGUGAGGUAAUGGCUCACCAAGGCGACGAUCCGUAACUGGUCUGAGAGGAUGAUCAGUCACACUGGAACUGAGACACGGUCCAGACUCCUACGGGAGGCAGCAGUGGGGAAUAUUGGACAAUGGGCGAAAGCCUGAUCCAGCCAUGCCGCGUGUGUGAAGAAGGUCUUCGGAUUUGUAAAAGCACUUUAAGUUGGGAGGAAGGGUU